This 756-nucleotide long non-coding RNA is filed under the name Pandoravirus dulcis. RNAcentral describes it as "putative ncRNA". The record is from RNAcentral.
CCCGCACACAGCCACAUGCGGCGUGCGUUGGCGGCCGACGUGCAGCCAAGAACGUCGUCGGCGCGGAUGCAGGCCGCAGCGCCCGAUGCCACGGUCGCAAACUCUCCAUCAUCAAGUACGCGUGGUGUCUGUCUGACCAGGACGAGCACUUGCUGCCACCGGCUCGCAGCGCCCAGCGCCGCGCACAGAUGUCGAAACACCGCUGCACAAUUGCCGCCGGGCGGCGCGACGAGCGUCAUUGUCCACGCCGCGCGCGCAACAAAGGAUUCAGGCGCAAGGCCCCCAUCCAAAAGAUCGAGAGCCUCGGGCGCGCGCAAAAGGCGGGCACCGGGGUCGCCGCGGCAGAUGAUCACAUCGCGCCACCAACGGCAGACCAUGCGCGCCAGGCAGGGCACGCGCCCAUGCCCCACAAACAAAAACACCUCGUAAAGGAUCUCGGGCGGCAGGGCGGCGUUGAUCGCGGCCACGCAAAUGUCGUCCAUUGUACUGUUCCCCUGGAUGGUCGACGCGCUCCCCUUGGCGUCACCAGCCUUUGGGAGGCGCCUGCGCAAAGAAAAGGACGCCUCCCUUUUGAUGUCGGCCAAAGGCACCCCUUUUGUGGCCGUGCGCUUUCGCUCGUCUGCCCCUCCUCCCUCUUUUUUUCCUCCUCCUUUUGCCUGUGAAACUCGCAAGAAAAAAAAAGGCUGUAACAGGCGCGCCUAUUGGGCGCAUACUUUAUUUUGGCCAAUCAAAAUAAAGUGGCAAUAACGCCUGGGC